Molecule: ribosomal RNA, 935 nt
Filed under: bacterium Fbm1
Lineage: Bacteria
Description: bacterial SSU rRNA
Rfam family: Bacterial small subunit ribosomal RNA
Source: RNAcentral
UACGGAGGAUCCGAGCGUUAUCCGGAAUUAUUGGGUUUAAAGGGUUCGUAGGCGGCUUUGUAAGUCAGUGGUGAAAUUUCCUAGCUUAACUAGGACACUGCCAUUGAUACUGCAGAGCUUGAAUAGUAUGGAAGUAACUAGAAUAUGUAGUGUAGCGGUGAAAUGCUUAGAUAUUACAUGGAAUACCAAUUGCGAAGGCAGGUUACUACGUAUUUAUUGACGCUGAUGAACGAAAGCGUGGGGAGCGAACAGGAUUAGAUACCCUGGUAGUCCACGCCGUAAACGAUGGAUACUAGCUGUUCGGUUUUCGGACUGAGUGGCUAAGCGAAAGUGAUAAGUAUCCCACCUGGGGAGUACGUUCGCAAGAAUGAAACUCAAAGGAAUUGACGGGGGCCCGCACAAGCGGUGGAGCAUGUGGUUUAAUUCGAUGAUACGCGAGGAACCUUACCAGGGCUUAAAUGUAGAUUGACAGAUUUGGAAACAGAUUUUUCUUCGGACAAUUUACAAGGUGCUGCAUGGUUGUCGUCAGCUCGUGCCGUGAGGUGUCAGGUUAAGUCCUAUAACGAGCGCAACCCCUAUUGUUAGUUACCAGCGCGUAAUGGCGGGGACUCUAGCAAGACUGCCGGUGCAAACCGUGAGGAAGGUGGGGAUGACGUCAAAUCAUCACGGCCCUUACGUCCUGGGCUACACACGUGCUACAAUGGCAAGUACAGAAAGCAGCUACCUGGCAACAGGAUGCGAAUCUCCAAAGCUUGUCUCAGUUCGGAUUGGAGUCUGCAACUCGACUCUAUGAAGCUGGAAUCGCUAGUAAUCGGAUAUCAGCCAUGAUCCGGUGAAUACGUUCCCGGGCCUUGUACACACCGCCCGUCAAGCCAUGGAAGCUGGGGGUACCUGAAGUCGGUGACCGCAAGGAGCUGCCUAGGGUAAAACUAGUA